Molecule: ribosomal RNA, 418 nt
Filed under: Pseudoramibacter alactolyticus
Lineage: Bacteria; Bacillati; Bacillota; Clostridia; Eubacteriales; Eubacteriaceae
Description: bacterial SSU rRNA
Rfam family: Bacterial small subunit ribosomal RNA
Source: RNAcentral
GACGAACGCUGGCGGUAUGCUUAACACAUGCAAGUCGAACGAGAAGUUUUUUAUUGAACCUUCGGGGGAUAUAAGAGACAGACAGUGGCGAACGGGUGAGUAACGCGUGGGCAACCUACCGAUCGGAGCGGGAUAGCCUCGAGAAAUCGGGAGUAAAACCGCAUAACACGGAUAUAUCGCAUGAUGAAUCCGUCAAAACUCCGGUGCCGAUAGAUGGGCCCGCGUCUGAUUAGCUAGUUGGUAAGGUAAGGGCUUACCAAGGCAACGAUCAGUAGCCGGUGCUGAGAGGGCGAACGGCCACACUGGAACUGAGACACGGUCCAGACUCCUACGGGAGGCAGCAGUGGGGAAUAUUGCGCAAUGGGGGCAACCCUGACGGAGCAAUACCGCGUGAGUGAAGAAGGUUUUCGGAUCGUAA